AGAUUGAACGCUGGCGGCAGGCCUAACACAUGCAAGUCGAGCGGUAGAGAGGUGCUUGCAUCUCUUGAGAGCGGCGGACGGGUGAGUAAUGCCUAGGAAUCUGCCUAGUGGUGGGGGAUAACGUUCGGAAACGGCGCUAAUACCGCAUACGUCCGUACGGGAGAAAGCGGGGGACCUUCGGGCCUCGCGCCAUUAGAUGAGCCUAGGUCGGAUUAGCUAGGUUGGUGAGGUAAUGGCUCACCGAAGGCGACGGAUCCGUAACUGGUCUGAGAGGAUGAUCAGUCACACUGGAACUGAGGACACGGUCCAGACUCCGUACGGGAGCAGCAGGUGGGAAUAUUGGACAAGUGGGACGAAAGCCUGAUCCGAGCAGUCGCCGCGGUGUGUAGAAGUAGGUCUCGGAUU
This 405-nucleotide ribosomal RNA is filed under the name uncultured soil bacterium. RNAcentral describes it as "bacterial SSU rRNA". It matches the Rfam family "Bacterial small subunit ribosomal RNA", at positions 26 to 424 of the family's 1533-position model. The record is from RNAcentral.